GCCUCUGUGGUGGAAUUGGUAGACACGACAGACUCAAAAUCUGUUGCUCCUGGAGUGUGCCGGUUCAAAUCCGGCCAGAGGUACCA
Molecule: transfer RNA, 86 nt
Filed under: Candidatus Megaera polyxenophila
Lineage: Bacteria; Pseudomonadati; Pseudomonadota; Alphaproteobacteria; Rickettsiales; Rickettsiaceae
Also listed under: 5 other names
Description: tRNA-Leu
Rfam family: tRNA
About the family: Transfer RNA (tRNA) molecules are approximately 80 nucleotides in length. Their secondary structure includes four short double-helical elements and three loops (D, anti-codon, and T loops).
Source: RNAcentral